AGGGAAUCUUCCGCAAUGGACGAAAGUCUGACGGAGCAACGCCGCGUGAGUGAAGAAGGCCUUCGGGUCGUAAAACUCUGUUGCCGGGGAAGAACAAGUGCCGUUCGAACAGGGCGGCGCCUUGACGGUACCCGGCCAGAAAGCCACGGCUAACUACGUGCCAGCAGCCGCGGUAAUACGUAGGUGGCAAGCGUUGUCCGGAAUUAUUGGGCGUAAAGCGCGCGCAGGCGGCUUCUUAAGUUGGAUGUGAAAUCUUGCGGCUCAACCGAAAGCGGUCAUUGGAAACUGGGAGGCUUGAGUGCAGAAGAGGAGAGUGGAAUUCCACGUGUAGCGGUGAAAUGCGUAGAGAUGUGGAGGAACACCAGUGGCGAAGGCGACUCUCUGGGCUGUAACUGACGCUGAGGCGCGAAAGCGUGGGGAGCAAAC
RNAcentral lists this ribosomal RNA (426 nucleotides) under uncultured bacterium. RNAcentral describes it as "bacterial SSU rRNA". It matches the Rfam family "Bacterial small subunit ribosomal RNA", at positions 356 to 773 of the family's 1533-position model. The record is from RNAcentral.